RNAcentral lists this ribosomal RNA (164 nucleotides) under uncultured bacterium. Its description in RNAcentral is "partial 16S rRNA". It matches the Rfam family "Bacterial small subunit ribosomal RNA", at positions 355 to 511 of the family's 1533-position model. The record is from RNAcentral.
UAGGGAAUCUUCCACAAUGGGCGAAAGCCUGAUGGAGCACCGCCGCGUGUGUGAUGAAGGGUUUCGGCUCGUAAAACACUGUUGUAAGAGAAGAAUGACAUUGAGAGUAACUGUUCAAUGUGUGACGGUAUCUUACCAGAAAGGAACGGCUAAAUACGUGCCAG